Molecule: transfer RNA, 69 nt
Filed under: Bos taurus (domestic cattle)
Lineage: Eukaryota; Metazoa; Chordata; Mammalia; Artiodactyla; Bovidae
Also listed under: 5 other names
Rfam family: tRNA
About the family: Transfer RNA (tRNA) molecules are approximately 80 nucleotides in length. Their secondary structure includes four short double-helical elements and three loops (D, anti-codon, and T loops). Further hydrogen bonds mediate the characteristic L-shaped molecular structure. tRNAs have two regions of fundamental functional importance: the anti-codon, which is responsible for specific mRNA codon recognition, and the 3' end, to which the tRNAs corresponding amino acid is attached (by aminoacyl-tRNA synthetases). tRNAs cope with the degeneracy of the genetic code in two manners: having more than one tRNA (with a specific anti-codon) for a particular amino acid; and 'wobble' base-pairing, i.e. permitting non-standard base-pairing at the 3rd anti-codon position.
Source: Rfam by way of RNAcentral
CCUGGUGGCUCAGAUAGUAAAGCGUCUGCCCGCAAUGCAGGAGACCAGGGUUCAAUCCCUGGGUCAGGA